This 251-nucleotide ribosomal RNA is filed under the name uncultured bacterium. Its description in RNAcentral is "partial 16S ribosomal RNA". It matches the Rfam family "Bacterial small subunit ribosomal RNA", at positions 524 to 776 of the family's 1533-position model. The record is from RNAcentral.
UACGAAGGGGGCUAGCGUUGCUCGGAAUUACUGGGCGUAAAGCGCACGUAGGCGGCUUCUUAAGUCGGUGGUGAAAUCCUGGAGCUCAACUCCAGAACUGCCUUCGAUACUGAAGCUCGAGUCCGGGAGAGGUGAGUGGAACUGCGAGUGUAGAGGUGAAAUUCGUAGAUAUUCGCAAGAACACCAGUGGCGAAGGCGGCUCACUGGCCCGGUACUGACGCUGAGGGGCGAAAGCGUGGGGAGCAAACAGG